CCAGACUCCUACGGGAGGCAGCAGUGGGGAAUAUUGCACAAUGGGGGAAACCCUGAUGCAGCGACGCCGCGUGAGUGAAGAAGUAUUUCGGUAUGUAAAGCUCUAUCAGCAGGGAAGAAAAUGACGGUACCUGACUAAGAAGCCCCGGCUAACUACGUGCCAGCAGCCGCGGUAAUACGUAGGGGGCAAGCGUUAUCCGGAUUUACUGGGUGUAAAGGGAGCGUAGACGGCAUGGCAAGUCAGAUGUGAAAGCCCGGGGCUCAACCCCGGGACUGCAUUUGAAACUGUCAGGCUGGAGUGCAGGAGGGGCAGGCGGAAUUCCUGGUGUAGCGGUGAAAUGCGUAGAUAUCAGGAGGAACACCGGUGGCGAAGGCGGCCUGCUGGACUGUAACUGACACUGAGGCUCGAAAGCGUGGGGAGCAAACAGGAUUAGAUACCCCUGUA
Molecule: ribosomal RNA, 444 nt
Filed under: uncultured bacterium
Lineage: Bacteria
Description: bacterial SSU rRNA
Rfam family: Bacterial small subunit ribosomal RNA
Source: RNAcentral